AUGAACGCUGGCGGCGUGCCUAAUACCUGCAAGUCGAGCGAACGGACGAGAAGCUUGCUUCUCUGAUGUUAGCGGCGGACGGGUGAGUAACACGUGGAUAACCUACCUAUAAGACUGGGAUAACUUCGGGAAACCGGAGCUAAUACCGGAUAAUAUUUUGAACCGCAUGGUUCAAAAGUGAAAGACGGUCUUGCUGUCACUUAUAGAUGGAUCCGCGCUGCAUUAGCUAGUUGGUAAGGUAACGGCUUACCAAGGCAACGAUGCAUAGCCGACCUGAGAGGGUGAUCGGCCACACUGGAACUGAGACGCGGUCCAGACUCCUACGGGAGGCAGCAGUAGGGAAUCUUCCGCAAUGGGCGAAAGCCUGACGGAGCAACGCCGCGUGAGUGAUGAAGGUCUUCGGAUCGUAAAACUCUGUUAUUAGGGAAGAACAUAUGUGUAAGUAACUGUGCACAUCUUGACGGUACCUAAUCAGAAAGCCACGGCUAACUACGUG
Molecule: ribosomal RNA, 496 nt
Filed under: uncultured bacterium
Lineage: Bacteria
Description: partial 16S ribosomal RNA
Rfam family: Bacterial small subunit ribosomal RNA
Source: RNAcentral